CCCCUAGAUGUUCUGGGCCGCACGCGCGCUACACUGAACAGUUCAACAAGUCUUAACCUUGGCCGAUAGGUCUGGGUAAUCUUUGAACGCUGUUCGUGAUUGGGAUAGACCUUUGCAAUUAUGGGUCUUCAACGAGGAAUUCCUAGUAAACGCAAGUCAUCAGCUUGCAUUGAUUACGUCCCUGCCCUUUGUACACACCGCCCGUCGCUCCUACCGAUUUCGAGUGGUCCGGUGAAUCUUUCGGACUGCGCGCGGCCUCGUGCCGUGUCGCGGAAAGUCAGGUAAACCUUAUCACUUAGAGGAAGGAGAAGUCGUAACA
Molecule: ribosomal RNA, 319 nt
Filed under: uncultured eukaryote
Lineage: Eukaryota
Description: partial 18S ribosomal RNA
Rfam family: Eukaryotic small subunit ribosomal RNA
Source: RNAcentral